This 266-nucleotide ribosomal RNA is filed under the name uncultured bacterium. Its description in RNAcentral is "partial 16S ribosomal RNA". It matches the Rfam family "Bacterial small subunit ribosomal RNA", at positions 123 to 406 of the family's 1533-position model. The record is from RNAcentral.
AAUCUGCCUCUAGGUCGGGGACAACAAUUGGAAACGAUUGCUAAUACCCGAUGUGCAGCAAUGUGAAAGGUUUAUUGCCUAGAGAUGAGCUCGCGUCUGAUUAGCUAGUAGGUGUGGUAAUGGCGCACCUAGGCGACGAUCAGUAACUGGUCUGAGAGGAUGACCAGUCACACUGGGACUGAGACACGGCCCAGACUCCUACGGGAGGCAGCAGUGGGGAAUUUUCCGCAAUGGGCGAAAGCCUGACGGAGCAAUACCGCGUGAGG